GUGCCAGCAGCCGCGGUAAGACGGAGGGUGCGAGCGUUAUUCGGAAUUAUUGGGCGUAAAGAGCGUGUAGGCGGUCGGUCAAGUCAGAUGUGAAAGCCCGGGGCUUAACCUCGGAAGUGCAUUUGAAACUGGUCGACUUGAGUUCGGGAGAGGGAAGUGGAAUUCCGGGUGUAGAGGUGAAAUUCGUAGAUAUCCGGAGGAACACCGGUGGCGAAGGCGACUUCCUGGACCGAAACUGACGCUGAGACGCGAAAGCGUGGGGAGCAAACAGGAUUAGAUACCCUGGUAGUCCACGCUGUAAACGAUGGGCGCUAGGUGUGGGGGGUUUUUAAUCCCUCCGUGCCGCAGCUAACGCAUUAAGCGCCCCGCCUGGGGAGUACGGCCGCAAGGUUAAA
This 395-nucleotide ribosomal RNA is filed under the name uncultured bacterium. RNAcentral describes it as "bacterial SSU rRNA". It matches the Rfam family "Bacterial small subunit ribosomal RNA", at positions 505 to 898 of the family's 1533-position model. The record is from RNAcentral.